Papaver somniferum (opium poppy) is the source of this 2704-nucleotide long non-coding RNA. RefSeq lists it as uncharacterized. The transcript is spliced from 11 exons. The record is from RefSeq and is a predicted model, not a curated record. NCBI's taxonomy places the organism in Eukaryota, Viridiplantae, Streptophyta, Magnoliopsida, Ranunculales, Papaveraceae.
CACAACCCAUUCUGGGACUGGUGAACUUCACAUUUUUUAUGGUCCAAUUUUCGAGGAAACCUUUCUCUCCAUUUUCCUUAUCUCUUCUUCUACGCAAGAGAGAGACUGCAUCUAUUCUUUUUCUUCUCCGCUGACUUCCAUCACCACCACGCACACCACUUCCUUCACCACCACAGAUCAAGCAACCACCAUCAACAACUUCCAUCAUCAUAACAACACUUCUCCCUUGAUUUAGUUUGCAUACACAUAAUCAACGAAAACCCCAAGAACCCUAGAAUAUAAAUCUGGAUUGUUUGUACCUCACAGAUCGAAACUCAUUGUUAGAAACCAAGGAUUUAUCCUAACCCAUAUCUCAAAAUCAAAACCCAUGUAUCAGCAGAAAUCAAAAGUAAACUUUGUAAUACUAGAUCUAUUUGUUUUGCUCUUGAAAUCACCAGGUAGGGUGUAACUCAACAAGGGUAGAAGAUGUCUUCUCAUACUCCUUUUAGGUUGAGGAAAACAUCUGCAAUUUGCAAAGAAGGAUUUAACCCUAUCAUAGAUUAAUAUUAAUUAAUUUCAUGAUUUAGAUUACCAUAUGAAGGAGACGUGUUUUGUAUUUUUCCUAGUAUUACAUUUCAAGCUGAUUAUCCAUUCAAACCCCAAGAUGAUGGAGGUACAGAUUUCAUGGACUCCCAUACUAUCAUGAUAUUUAAUCUUUCAUAUUGAAAAACAGAUGGAGGUACAGAUUUCAUGGACUCCCAUACUAGUAAUUCAAUGGCAAUCUUACGAGCAUAUGAGUUUGUGGAGUGCAUCGUUAAUUAAUUUGGGAGAGAGUUCAACAUGUACUAGCAUUAGUUGGUGACCAGCUUGACUAUGGAGAGAACAUAUGCGGAGCAGUAUUGAGCAUCCGUUUUAAUGAAGACAUAUUGAGCGUCUGGAACCGCAAUGCAGCUGACCACCAGGCUGUGAUGGCUCUAAGAGAUGCAAUCAAGAGACAACUGAAGCUUCCUCAGGAAACUUUCGGCACUGCUGACAAGUGACAAAAGUUUCAUUCGUACCCUCGAAGGAAGAAGCUCAAGAUACUGCAACACUUGAAGCAGCGGCUGAAGAUAAAGAAUCUCCAGUGGUUUGAAUUUGGUAUUUGAAAGAUCAGCAUUCCUUUACUUUACUUACUGGAGACUGUAUCACUUUUACUCUUACUGCUAUGAGAUGACAGGUGAUCUUGUUAAAAUCAGAGAUUGAGUCAUUAUUAGCACAAUUGAAAUAUAUCUGAAUUAUUUAUUCCUGGAGGCUUGUUGAAAUCAGAGCUAGUCAUUUAUCUGGAAUGUGUUGUUAUAGGUAUUUGGAUGAAGUAUGAAGUCUGCAAUGUUAAGAAUGAUGACAUCUCAUUAGCUAUUGUUAUUGUCCUGCAUCUUCUUAUUUUCUAUAAACUAUAAAUGAAUAUUUAUACAAAUAGUUGGUUGGUGUUGGAUUGAAUUCAAUCUUCUAGUGUGUAUGUUUAUGCUAACAGAUCCGCUCCUCUCGUUGCAGGAAAUAACUAGUUCUCCGCAUCCUCUUGACAAAAGUGAAUCAGUUCUCAGUAAGCUCAAACUGAAAGUACUUCACUUUUACUAACUCAUUUGAUGAUUUGUCUUAUCAUUUAGUUGUAGUACAUACUUAGUGGAGUUGCUUCUUUCUUACGCUUAUAUCUUUCCAAUUUGUAAGCGGAAGAUUUCCACCUUGUUUAAUCUCAAAACAUGGAGCUUGCAACAAUAAGUAUUUUUCAGAUAUAUAUUUCAUAUUUAUGGAAAGCUUUCACCCCCUUGUUGUAAGCUUUCUAACCCUCGAAUGCAUCUUUUAUAUUAAUUAUUUAGUAUGCAUAUAAGUCUAUUUUUAUAAUGGAUGGAUAAAAUAGCCAGUACACAACGAGUUGCAUGUAUCCCAUGAGUGCAUUGUGGGUAAACAUAUAUUCAAACUUGCACAAAUCUGAUUGUUCUUGGGUUUCUCAGGAUCUUUAUUCAAGUACUAUGUAGUCGUAGUACCCUUCCUCUUUAUGUCAUCAUAUCAAUGGAAUAGUAACACCUUUAAUCUACAAAACUUAUCUUUUUUUCUUGCUUUCAGUGAUGGUCGUAUCUCUCAUGAUUUACUUACUUUCCUCUGAUUUCGUUUAGAUGGGAAGUUCACUCAACAAGGCUAUAUUUCGCUAGCAUGAACAAGUAGGAUUGAUCAGCUGGGUGAAAAAAGUAAAGAAGAGAGGUUUGAGAGCAACAACUGUAAAUGGAUCAACUCAAGGUGGUUACACAGGCAGGUCACUGGAGUGAUGGUGUUAUUCUAUAUCAGUUUAGGAGCAUAGUAGUGUAAUGGAGAAGCAAUAUGAUUUGGUUCUUAGGGAGUAGACAUCUCUUUGUCGGUGCAAUUCAACAAGUAAUAUCCAAUUUUGUCAAUGGCCGAUCAACGCUUGUGUCAAGAUAGCUGGAUUGCAGUUGAUGCCGAUAUUAGAAGAACAUUUGAACAUCCCUGGUCAUCAGUAUGUGGAAUGCUUUUGAAAGGUACUCUAUUAUUAAGUGUGGGCUCAGUUCAUCAUUGGGGAGGGGAAUUUACCAUUUUGUUGGUGAAUUUCACUUGUCUUUAAGCUUAAAUAUAUUGUUCUGAACUCAUGAUUUAACUUUGAACCUAAUUAAUACAAUGAAUGCUAAAUGGAAAGUUUAUUUUGAAUAUAUAAGUGCAAGUUUUAGUUUAGCUUCAA